AAUGAACGUUGGCGGCAUGGAUUAGGCAUGCAAGUCGAGCGAGAAGGAAAUCAAAGUUUACUUUGGUUUCCGGAAAGCGGCGAAAGGGAGAGUAACGCGUAGUUAUCUACCCCAAGGCCCGGAAUAGCUGCGGGAAACUGCAGGUAAUGCCGGAUAAUAUCCCCGGCUCAAGGGUGUGAUUCCGCCUUGGGAGGAGACUGCGUUGUACUAGCUUGUGGGUAGGGUAAUGGCCUACCAAGGCUACGAUGCAUAGCGGGCGUGAGAGCGUGGCCCGUCUCACUGGGACUGAAACACUGCCCAGACACCUACGGGUGGCUGCAGUCGAGAAUCUUCGGCAAUGGGCGAAAGCCUGACCGAGCGAUGCCGCGUGCGGGAUGAAGGCCCUCGGGUUGUAAACCGCUGUCGUAGGGGAGAAAGGACCGUUGAAGAGACGGUUUUGAUCUAUCCUAGGAGGGAGUCCGGGCUAAGUUCGUGC
This 475-nucleotide ribosomal RNA is filed under the name uncultured bacterium. Its description in RNAcentral is "partial 16S ribosomal RNA". It matches the Rfam family "Bacterial small subunit ribosomal RNA", at positions 29 to 508 of the family's 1533-position model. The record is from RNAcentral.